GGGGAUUUAGCUCAGUGGUAGAGCGUUUGCCUAGCAAGCGAAAGGCCCUGGGUUCGGUCCCCAGCUCUG
This 69-nucleotide transfer RNA is filed under the name Rattus norvegicus (Norway rat). It matches the Rfam family "tRNA". Rfam says of the family: Transfer RNA (tRNA) molecules are approximately 80 nucleotides in length. Their secondary structure includes four short double-helical elements and three loops (D, anti-codon, and T loops). The record is from Rfam by way of RNAcentral. Lineage: Eukaryota; Metazoa; Chordata; Mammalia; Rodentia; Muridae.